RNAcentral lists this ribosomal RNA (377 nucleotides) under uncultured bacterium. Its description in RNAcentral is "bacterial SSU rRNA". It matches the Rfam family "Bacterial small subunit ribosomal RNA", at positions 425 to 793 of the family's 1533-position model. The record is from RNAcentral.
GUAAAGCACUUUCAGUAGGGAGGAAGGUAGUGUAGUUAACACCUGCAUUAUUUGACGUUACCUACAGAAGAAGCACCGGCUAACUCCGUGCCAGCAGCCGCGGUAAUACGGAGGGUGCGAGCGUUAAUCGGAAUUACUGGGCGUAAAGCGCAUGCAGGCGGCCUGUUAAGUCAGAUGUGAAAGCCCGGGGCUUAACCUCGGAAUUGCAUUUGAAACUGGCAGGCUAGAGUCUUGUAGAGGGGGGUAGGAAUUUCAGGUGUAGCGGUGAAAUGCGUAGAGAUCUGAAGGAAUACCAGUGGCGAAGGCGGCCCCCUGGACAAAGACUGACGCUCAGAUGCGAAAGCGUGGGGAGCAAACAGGAUUAGAUACCCUGGUAG